UCUUUGCUAGUAUAUCGGUUAGUACACGCGCCUGUCAUUCUGCGGCUACAUGCGAUGUGCGCGCGCGAAAGCUGGGUUCGACUCCCAGGCAGAGAG
Non-coding RNA from Cerrena zonata, 96 nucleotides. Lineage: Eukaryota; Fungi; Basidiomycota; Agaricomycetes; Polyporales; Cerrenaceae. The record is from the annotation of a GenBank genome assembly.